This 460-nucleotide ribosomal RNA is filed under the name uncultured bacterium. RNAcentral describes it as "SSU rRNA". It matches the Rfam family "Bacterial small subunit ribosomal RNA", at positions 26 to 518 of the family's 1533-position model. The record is from RNAcentral.
AGAAUCAACGCUGGCGGCGUGCCUAACACAUGCAAGUCGAACGAGAAAGUGGAGCAAUCCACGAGUAAAGUGGCGCACGGGUGAGUAACACGUGACUAACCUACCCUUGAGUGGGGGAUAACCUAGGGAAACCUGGGCUAAUACCGCAUAAUACCUACGGGUCAAAGGAGCAAUUCGCUUAAGCGAGGGGGUCGCGGCCGAUUAGUUAGUUGGCGGGGUAAUGGCCCACCAAGACGAUGAUCGGUAUCCGGCCUGAGAGGGCGCACGGACACACUGGAACUGAAACACGGUCCAGACUCCUACGGGAGGCAGCAGUGGGGAAUUUUGCGCAAUGGGGGAAACCCUGACGCAGCAACGCCGCGUGGAGGAUGAAGUCCUUGGGAUGUAAACUCCUUUCGAUCGGGACGAUAAUGACGGUACCGGAAGAAGAAGCCCGGCUAACUUCGUGCCAGCAGCCGAC